AUCCAGCUGAAGAGUCCUAAAUAGGACGAAACGCGUGUCCCGGAU
Schistosoma mansoni is the source of this 45-nucleotide non-coding RNA. NCBI's taxonomy places the organism in Eukaryota, Metazoa, Platyhelminthes, Trematoda, Strigeidida, Schistosomatidae. The record is from Rfam.